Molecule: ribosomal RNA, 884 nt
Filed under: uncultured archaeon
Lineage: Archaea
Description: bacterial SSU rRNA
Rfam family: Archaeal small subunit ribosomal RNA
Source: RNAcentral
GGGGGUCCGAUGAACUAGCAUGCGAGUCAUUGUAGUAAUACAAGGCAGACGGCUCAGUAACGCGUAGUCAACCUACCCUAUGGACGGGGAUAACCUCGGGAAACUGAGAAUAAUACCCGAUAGAACAUUAUGCCUGGAAUGGUUUAUGUUUCAAAUAAUUUAUUGCCGUAGGAUGGGACUGCGGCCUAUCAGUUUGUUGGUGAGGUAAUGGCCCACCAAGACUAUUACAGGUACGGGCUCUGAGAGGAGUAGCCCGGAGAUGGGUACUGAGACACGGACCCAGGCCCUAUGGGGCGCAGCAGGCGAGAAAACUUUGCAAUGUGCGAAAGCACGACAAGGUUAGUCCGAGUGGUUUCUGCUAAAGGAACCUUUUGUCAGUCCUAGAAACACUGAUGAAUAAGGGGUGGGCAAGUUCUGGUGUCAGCCGCCGCGGUAAAACCAGCACCUCAAGUGGUCAGGAUGAUUAUUGGGCCUAAAGCAUCCGUAGCCUGCUUUGUAAGUUUUCGGUUAAAUCCAUACGCUCAACGUAUGGGCUGCCGGGAAUACUGCAAAGCUAGGGAGUGGGAGAGGUAGACGGUACUCGGUAGGAAGGGGUAAAAUCCUUUGAUCUAUUGAUGACCACCUGUGGCGAAGGCGGUCUACCAGAACACGUCCGACGGUGAGGGAUGAAAGCUGGGGGAGCAAACCGGAUUAGAUACCCGGGUAGUCCCAGCUGUAAACUAUGCAAACUCAGUGAUGCAUUGGCUUGAUGCCAAUGCAGUGCUGCAGGGAAGCCGUUAAGUUUGCCGCCUGGGAAGUACGUACGCAAGUAUGAAACUUAAAGGAAUUGGCGGGGGAGCACCACAAGGGGUGAAGCCUGCGGUUCAAUUGGAGUCAACGCCGGG